CCUACGGGGCGCAGCAGUGAGGAAUAUUGGUCAAUGGACGAGAGUCUGAACCAGCCAAGUAGCGUGAAGGAUGACUGCCCUAUGAGUUGUAAACUUCUUUUAUAUGGGAAUAAAACGUUCCACGUGUGUGAUUUUGUAUGUACCAUAUGAAUAAGGAUCGGCUAACUCCGUGCCAGCAGCCGCGGUAAUACGGAGGAUCCGAGCGUUAUCCGGAUUUAUUGGGUUUAAAGGGAGCGUAGGUGGAUUGUUAAGUCAGUUGUGAAAGUUUGCGGCUCAACCGUAAAAUUGCAGUUGAAACUGGCAGUCUUGAGUACAGUAGAGGUGGGCGGAAUUCGUGGUGUAGCGGUGAAAUGCUUAGAUAUAACGAAGAACUCCGAUUGCGAAGGCAGUUCACUGGACUGCAACUGACACUGAGGCUCGAAAGUGUGGGUAUCAAACAGGAUUAGAUACCCCAGUAGUC
Molecule: ribosomal RNA, 460 nt
Filed under: uncultured bacterium
Lineage: Bacteria
Description: partial 16S ribosomal RNA
Rfam family: Bacterial small subunit ribosomal RNA
Source: RNAcentral